RNAcentral lists this ribosomal RNA (253 nucleotides) under uncultured bacterium. RNAcentral describes it as "partial 16S ribosomal RNA". It matches the Rfam family "Bacterial small subunit ribosomal RNA", at positions 524 to 776 of the family's 1533-position model. The record is from RNAcentral.
UACGGGGGGGGCAAGCGUUGUUCGGAAUUACUGGGCGUAAAGAGCUCGUAGGCGGCUCGUCGCGUCGACCGUGAAAACCCGCGGCUUAACCGCGGGCUUGCGGUUGAUACGGGCGGGCUAGAGUUCGGUAGGGGAGACUGGAAUUCCUGGUGUAGCGGUGAAAUGCGCAGAUAUCAGGAGGAACACCGGUGGCGAAGGCGGGUCUCUGGGCCGAUACUGACACUGAGGAGCGAAAGCCAGGGGAGCAAACGGG